GUUGAUUGGGACACGUGAAGCCAAACAGGGGCUGACUGAAACUAGUUAAAAGCCUCCCAAUCACUCAGCUGAGUGUGCAUGUCAGGAGCUGUGCUGUUGGAGAGACUGAACUGUACACACCAUAUCAGGCAUAAGGAAAGAGGCCCUGAGGCAAGCCAGAGCCCGACUGCUGGGACUGGUUAGACCCCCCCCUCUGGAGUAAAAAAGAAGUCCUGGAUUGCCACACCACUAGAUGACCCUGUCGCCUGUCCCACAUCCUCCUCCAACUCAACCUCCUCAUCCACCACUUCAUUCCUGGGGUUGACUCCGCUGGCUGCUGCCUCCAAUCUCCCUGAAGUAUCCACAGGGCUCUUUGCAAUGGAGGAGGGGGUCACCACUUAGGAUGACGUGCAGGUCCUUGAAGCGGCAUGUUUUUGGUGCUGCACAAGAGCAACGAUUGGCUUCUCUUUCCUUCUCAAAAGCUGACCAUACAGAGCAGUAGCAAAUGAAAAAGUACCUAUGUUCCUGGAGCCCAACUCUAUAGCACAGGGAAAAUGAUGGGGGGGCUGGUCAAUUCUCCAUGCAGUUUCCCCCUUCAGCUGAUCAUACUACUCUUGUGGUGCUUGAGCUUCACCUGGAUGGUGUUGCAACACAAUCCUGCUUGUUGUUGCAAUGUAAACAGGUUUUGAUUCAGAUUCACAAUGCCUGUAACAUGAUGGUGUAAGCCUUAACAUGUAGCAGGCAUGCAACAGCUGUGCGGUCAUUCAUCACUUAUACAGUUCUGUUGUGUAACUGCAUGUGAGUGACUCAGGCUGGCUGUUACCAUUGUAUAGGUUUUUGUGAUCAGCACUUCCUUUUCCUUAAAAAUGUCAAAUUAAGCAAUCAACAGCCCACAGAUUGAGAAACUCUGGGAAAGAGUAUAAUAAUCAGUCAGUAUUGUAAGGGGAAACUUCUUGGUCACGUAUGUGCAAUUCCCAUUCUACAUGCACAUAACCAAGGACAAAAUGUGGCGUUCAGUGCUCAAAAAAUGGAAAGUAAAGAAAAUAAAGCUUCUCUUUAAUUGUUUAGCAUUUCCAAAUAAUGAGGAAGGAACGGCCCUAGAGUUCUGUGGGUUCAUGCUAUUAAAAAGAGAUUAUGCUCUCAAUAAACUUUGCCAGCUAUUUGACUCUUCAGAAUGUAGUCAGUUCUGGUUAAUAGUCUGCAACUGUCAUUUUCAUUUGGAUUAUACAUUAUUUAAUCUAAAAUGCAUCCUGCAAAAUGGGCUCUGACUUAAAUAAUUCAGAUAACCAAGAGACAUGGUCUGAAUAAACCAAGACAAGAUAAAUGCUAUCUGCCUGUAAGUAAGAAGGACAGUUCCGCCUCCCCAUGCCCUUCUUUGAGAAGACCAGUGCCUACAAUGUAUAAAGAGAUGUGAAAUAAUGGAGUGAAGCUGCCAACCAGACUAUUUGAACACCUUUCAAAAUAAUAUAGAGAAGAUACUGUGUUGCCCUCUCUCCGAGAGGUCAUGAUGAACAUUGUCCCUGAUAUAGACUUUUUGUUCCACUUCCUCUGUUUACCAACAUACUAACUUUUGCCACUAAGCACUAUAGUUUGCAUAAACAUUAAACUUAACACUCUUUCCAAAUAA
Mauremys reevesii (Reeves's turtle) is the source of this 1606-nucleotide long non-coding RNA. RefSeq lists it as uncharacterized. The record is from RefSeq and is a predicted model, not a curated record. NCBI's taxonomy places the organism in Eukaryota, Metazoa, Chordata, Testudines, Geoemydidae. The transcript has 3 exons.